GAGUUUGAUCCUGGCUCAGGAUGAACGCUGGCGGCGUGCUUAAUACAUGCAAGUCGAACGGGGAGUUAGCAAUAGCUCCGAGUGGCGAACGGGUGAGUAACGCGUUGGUGACCUGCCCCGAAGAGUGGGAUAACAGCUCGAAAGGGCUGCUAAUACCGCAUGAGGUAAUGAGGAUUAGAAGCUGAUUACGAAAGGUGUGCGACUUGUCGCAGACCGCUUUGGGAGGGGCCUGCGUCCCAUCAGCUAGUUGGUAGGGUAACAGCCUACCAAGGCGACGACGGGUAGGGGACCUGAGAGGGUGAUCCCCCACACUGGCACUGAAACACGGGCCAGACACCUACGGGUGGCAGCAGUAGGGAAUAUUGCCCAAUGGGCGAAAGCCUGAGGCAGCAACGCCGCGCGCGCGAUGAAGGCCUUCGGGUCGUAAAGCGCUUUUCUGGAGGACGAGGAAGGACGGUACUCCAGGAAGAAGGCUCGGCUAACUACGUGCCAGCAGCCGCGGUAAAACGUAGGAGCCAAGCGUUAUCCGAAUUCACUGGGCGUAAAGCGCCUGCAGGCGGCUGCGCAAGUUGGGUGUGAAAUCUCCCGGCUCAACUGGGAGAGGCCGCUCAAGACUGCGUGGCUAGAGGCUGGUAGAGGGAGGUGGAAUUCCCGGUGUAGUGGUGAAAUGCGUAGAUAUCGGGAGGAACACCAGUGGCGAAAGCGGCCUCCUGGACCAGACCUGACGCUAAGAGGCGAAAGCUAGGGGAGCGAACGGGAUUAGAAACCCCGGUAGUCCUAGCCGUAAACGAUGUAGACUA
RNAcentral lists this ribosomal RNA (800 nucleotides) under uncultured Chloroflexota bacterium. RNAcentral's name for it is "bacterial SSU rRNA". It matches the Rfam family "Bacterial small subunit ribosomal RNA", at positions 9 to 818 of the family's 1533-position model. The record is from RNAcentral. Lineage: Bacteria; Bacillati; Chloroflexota.